GACGAACGCUGGCGGCGUGCUUAAUACAUGCAAGUCGAACGGAAAGGCCCUGCUCUUGUGGCGUGCUCGAGCGGCGAACGGGUGAGUAACACGCGAGUAUCACGCCCCUGACUGUGGGAUAACUCCAGGAAACUCGGGCUAUUACCGCGUAGGAUCUCCUGCUGCAUGGUGUUGGUUGGAAAGUUUCGGCGGUGGGGGAUGGACUCGCAGCUUAUCCGCUUGUUGGUGGGGUAGUGGCUUACCAAGGCUUUGACGGGUAGCCCGCCUGAGAGGGGAGCCGGCGACCAUGGGCCUGAGGGACGGCGCAGUCUCCUACGGGACGCAGCGGUCGGGAGUAUUACGCAGUGGGCGCGCGCCUGAUGCGGAGGCCCCGCGUGCGGAAUGACGGCCUACGAGUUAUAAACCGAUUUCGACUGUGCCGAAGCGUGAGUGACGGUAAUGGGUAAAGAAGCACCGGCUAACUACGUG
This 468-nucleotide ribosomal RNA is filed under the name uncultured bacterium. Its description in RNAcentral is "partial 16S ribosomal RNA". It matches the Rfam family "Bacterial small subunit ribosomal RNA", at positions 28 to 507 of the family's 1533-position model. The record is from RNAcentral.